CUGAUGUCACGGUGUCACACUCUGAUGUCACAGUUCCAAUAAUUUGAAUAUAAACCUCAGUUGCUAAGCAGUGAGAAUAACAAUACAUAAACUGCUGAAAUACAUGCAUUUCUCUUUACAUUACUGUAAAGUAACAGUUCUCUUCUGCCACCAGGGCUUUAGGGUUCAAGAGAUUCCCAACUUGACUCUGAAUGCAUCCGAAUUGCUGAUGAACAACCUCAAUGCCCUCUAAAGCAGGCUCCACUGCGCUGUUUGAGAAACCUUCCAGAAGCGCCACCCUUGAAAUUCAAAUGUAUUGUACUUUGCGGAUGUGAAAAAAACAGUUAACCAAAGAGAGCCAAAGACAGAGAUAGCACAUGUGACUCGAUGACCCAAUCCAAGGAAGACUUUUAGUGUAACAGGUCCAGAAGGAGGCGUUAACAAUCGUAGUGCACAACAGGCGACGGCGCCAUCCGAAGACGUAACUGACUUUUUGACAAUCCGAGUUGCUUCUUCUGCCAUUUGUUCGUUCAUUUCGGGCCUUUGUCUCAGCUGGCUCUGUGCUUGUGCAACAGCUUUAACAGCUGAGCUGACCAACACAUUUCAAAGACUUGCCGAAGUAGGUCAACAUUUGCUCUAACUGCUCCCUGUGUUGGUCCAGUUUCACUUGAAACUGGUGUUUUGUGUUUUGUGGACAUAACUU
Xiphophorus maculatus (southern platyfish) is the source of this 682-nucleotide long non-coding RNA. RefSeq lists it as uncharacterized. The transcript has 3 exons. NCBI's taxonomy places the organism in Eukaryota, Metazoa, Chordata, Actinopteri, Cyprinodontiformes, Poeciliidae. The record is from RefSeq and is a predicted model, not a curated record.